GACGUAGGGUGCAAGCGUUAUCCGGAUUUACUGGGUUUAAAGGGUGCGUAGGUGGAUAAUUAAGUCAGUGGUGAAAUCUUCAGGCUUAACCUGGAAACUGCCAUUGAUACUAUUUAUCUUGAAUACUUUGGAGGUAAGCGGAAUAUGUCAUGUAGCGGUGAAAUGCUUAGAUAUGACAUAGAACACCAAUUGCGAAGGCAGCUUACUACACAGUAAUUGACACUGAGGCACGAAAGCGUGGGGAUCAAACAGG
RNAcentral lists this ribosomal RNA (253 nucleotides) under uncultured bacterium. Its description in RNAcentral is "partial 16S ribosomal RNA". It matches the Rfam family "Bacterial small subunit ribosomal RNA", at positions 524 to 776 of the family's 1533-position model. The record is from RNAcentral.